CACCACCACAACAACAACAGGUUAGAGCAGACUUAAAGCAGGUUGGUGGUGGUGGCUCCUCGUUGUCUUUGUGGCUGUUGCAGCUCUCCUAAUAAUCACUGUGGCUGUCAUCAGAUGGAAGAAAGCUAAAGGGAACAAAACACCGACGUAUGAAGACAUGGCUGAUCCUGAAGGUGGUGUUUCCUACGCCUCCAUCAGGUACACCAAGAAGACCAACAGGAGAGCCCAGGCUGGAGGUGGAGAUGAUGAUGAAGAUGAUGCAGUGACCUACAGCACCGUGAAAGCUUCCUCUUCCUCUUCCUCUGCUGCUGCAGCCUCAGCUGAUCUCAGCGACCUCUACGCCACCGUCACCAAACCCAA
Molecule: long non-coding RNA, 360 nt
Organism: Etheostoma cragini (Arkansas darter)
Lineage: Eukaryota; Metazoa; Chordata; Actinopteri; Perciformes; Percidae
Exons: 5
Source: RefSeq, a predicted model, not a curated record